ACACAAAAAAUACUGAUGCUGCAAUUUUAAUUUAAAGGUCACAUGAUAAUGUGCUCUUUGAAUGCUUUUAUAUAGACCUUAGUUGUUCCCUAAUAUCAAAUCUGAAGUCUGUUUCCCAAAAUUUAGCCUUGGCGCAGAAUUACAACCACAAGAGCCAGUCCCACAAUGAGCU
This is a long non-coding RNA of Etheostoma spectabile (orangethroat darter), 172 nucleotides long. RefSeq lists it as uncharacterized. NCBI's taxonomy places the organism in Eukaryota, Metazoa, Chordata, Actinopteri, Perciformes, Percidae. The record is from RefSeq and is a predicted model, not a curated record. The transcript has 3 exons.